UGCCUAUUUCUAUUUAAGAUCCACUUCUAUAGACUAUAAGCUUUUAGUAUGAAUUUAGGGAUUCAGGAAGAAGAGCAUGAAGGUUAGUUAACUUAGGUACUACUCCCAACGCUAAGCAGCUAUCUGCGUGGGAGUUGGGAAGGAACAGAGGGUAGUGAAGAUGCUGGCCUUGCACUUUGCUUCAGGGCUCUGAGCAAUGUUCUGUAGCCAGCACCUUCAAAAACUGGAACACCUUACAGCUGCUGUUAGUUACUCCGCUGCAAAAACCUUUAUUUAAUGGAUCCUUAACAAAUAUUUUUGAAUGAAUGAAGAGCAAGGGAACUGAAGUUACCCAGAAUGCCCAGGACAAGUCUACAAAGAAUGAGGGGCACCAACAAUCCAAGCAACUACAUACACUGGAGAGCACAGUGGUUCUAAAAUGAAAAAGUGGUUGUGGAAAGGGGAACCAGAGCUUUCUCUAUCUGUCAACAUUUCUGCGCUGUGUUAGCAUUUCUAAGGCAUUGAUGAAAGUUAUCAACAUAUUAAUAAAAUCUCCUUAAAAA
RNAcentral lists this long non-coding RNA (542 nucleotides) under Equus caballus (horse). RNAcentral's name for it is "lncRNA (ENSECAG00000054208.1)". The record is from RNAcentral. Lineage: Eukaryota; Metazoa; Chordata; Mammalia; Perissodactyla; Equidae.